RNAcentral lists this ribosomal RNA (245 nucleotides) under uncultured Sphingosinicella sp. RNAcentral describes it as "partial 16S ribosomal RNA". It matches the Rfam family "Bacterial small subunit ribosomal RNA", at positions 524 to 768 of the family's 1533-position model. The record is from RNAcentral. Lineage: Bacteria; Pseudomonadati; Pseudomonadota; Alphaproteobacteria; Sphingomonadales; Sphingosinicellaceae.
UACGGAGGGAGCUAGCGUUGUUCGGAAUCACUGGGCGUAAAGCGCACGUAGGCGGCUUUGUAAGUUAGAGGUGAAAGCCCGGGGCUCAACUCCGGAACUGCCUUUAAGACUGCAUCGCUUGAAUCUGGGAGAGGUAAGUGGAAUUCCGAGUGUAGAGGUGAAAUUCGUAGAUAUUCGGAAGAACACCAGUGGCGAAGGCGGCUUACUGGACCAGAAUUGACGCUGAGGUGCGAAAGCGUGGGGAG